UACGGAGGGUGCAAGCGUUAAUCGGAAUUACUGGGCGUAAAGCGGGUGUAGGUGGUUAUAUAAGUCAGAGGUGAAAGCCCAGGGCUCAACCCUGGAAGUGCCUUUGAUACUGUAUGACUUGAGUGUGGGAGAGGGUGCUAGAAUUCCUGGUGUAGUGGUGAAAUGCGUAGAGAUCAGGAGGAACACCGGCGGCGAAGGCGGGUGCCUGGCCCAACACUGACGCUCAGGCCCGAAAGCGAGGGGAGCAAACAGG
RNAcentral lists this ribosomal RNA (253 nucleotides) under uncultured bacterium. Its description in RNAcentral is "partial 16S ribosomal RNA". It matches the Rfam family "Bacterial small subunit ribosomal RNA", at positions 524 to 776 of the family's 1533-position model. The record is from RNAcentral.